GAUGAACGCUGGCGGCGUGCUUAACACAUGCAAGUCGAACGAAAAGAUACGGCGUUUGUUCCUUGCACGUUAGGGGCGGGGGGGUGUGAAACACGUGGAAACCCUCCUUUACUGUCGGGGAAAAUUUGGGAAACCGGGCUCAAAUCCGGUAUAAUAUAUUGAACCGCGGGGUUGAUUGGUAAAUUACGGUUUUGUGGGACGUACUAGCGGGUUCCCAGCCGCUUUAGCUAGUUGUUACGUUCACGGCUUUCCAAGGGAAGGAGGCGUGGCCGACUGAAGAGGGUGAUCGGCCACACGGGAACUGAGACGCGGUCCAUACUCCUACGGGAGGCAGCAGUAGGGAAUCUUCCGCAAUGGGCGAAAGCCUGACGGAGCAACGCCGCGUGAGUGAUGAAGGUCUUCGGAUCGUAAAACUCUGUUAUUAGGGAAGAACAAAUGUGUAAGUAACUAUGCACGUCUUGACGGUACCUAAUCAGAAAGCCACGGCUAACUACGUG
This 497-nucleotide ribosomal RNA is filed under the name uncultured bacterium. RNAcentral's name for it is "partial 16S ribosomal RNA". It matches the Rfam family "Bacterial small subunit ribosomal RNA", at positions 28 to 507 of the family's 1533-position model. The record is from RNAcentral.